AUUGUAAAGUAGAGUAUAGAACUCAAAUGAGUUAUAAAGUAGGUAUGAGGUUUAUUUCAGCACCGGGCCCAUGCAGGAUAGCUCCCAAAGGCAUGCACACCCCAACACGGCAACUUGCCUUAGUUAUAUGCAGUAAAGAGUUACAUAUGCAUGAAGUUUCCCAAUACGCCUAUACAUAUGCAUGGCCUAUCCCGGCUUCAUAUUAAAAUUAGUUCCAAGAAAUCAUUUCCAUAAGCUCCU
Long non-coding RNA from Oxyura jamaicensis (ruddy duck), 240 nucleotides. RefSeq lists it as uncharacterized. NCBI's taxonomy places the organism in Eukaryota, Metazoa, Chordata, Aves, Anseriformes, Anatidae. The record is from RefSeq and is a predicted model, not a curated record. The transcript is spliced from 3 exons.